GUGGGGAAUAUUGGACAAUGGGCGAAAGCCUGAUCCAGCCAUGCCGCGUGAGUGAUGAAGGCCUUAGGGUUGUAAAGCUCUUUCAGUAGGGAAGAUAAUGACGGUACCUACAGAAGAAGCCCCGGCUAACUUCGUGCCAGCAGCCGCGGUAAUACGAAGGGGGCUAGCGUUGUUCGGAUUUACUGGGCGUAAAGCGCACGUAGGCGGAUUGGUCAGUUAGAGGUGAAAUCCUGGAGCUCAACUCCAGAACUGCCUUUAAUACUGCCAGUCUAGAGUCCAUAAGAGGUGAGUGGAACUCCUAGUGUAGAGGUGGAAUUCGUAGAUAUUAGGAAGAACACCAGUGGCGAAGGCGGCUCACUGGUCUGGUACUGACGCUGAGGUGCGAAAGCGUAGCGAGCAAACAGGAUUAGAAACCCGGGUAGUCC
RNAcentral lists this ribosomal RNA (425 nucleotides) under uncultured bacterium. Its description in RNAcentral is "partial 16S ribosomal RNA". It matches the Rfam family "Bacterial small subunit ribosomal RNA", at positions 354 to 796 of the family's 1533-position model. The record is from RNAcentral.